AGGGUCCAAACAGGCAUGUGAGGUGCCUUUGGAAAGCCCCAGGGCACUGUGGCCAGGGUUCACAUUGGCCAAGUUAUGUCCAUCCAUACCAAGCUGCAGAACAAGGCGCAUGUGAUUGAGGUCCUGCUCAGGGCCAAGUUCAAGUUCCCCGGCUGCCAGAAGAUCCACAUCUGGAAGAAGUGGGGCUUCACCAAGUUCAAUGCCGAUGAAUUUGAAGAUAUGGUGGCUGAGAAGCGGCUCAUCCCAGAUGGCUGUGGGGUCAAGUAUGUCGCCAUUCAUGGCCCUCUGGACAAGUGGCUGGCCCUGCACUC
Molecule: long non-coding RNA, 311 nt
Filed under: Homo sapiens (human)
Lineage: Eukaryota; Metazoa; Chordata; Mammalia; Primates; Hominidae
Description: non-protein coding lnc-XPO1-1:1
Source: RNAcentral